CAGCAGCCGCGGUAAAACGUAGGGUGCAAGCGUUAAUCGGAAUUACUGGGCGUAAAGCGUGCGUAGGCGGUUCGUUAAGUCUGUUGUGAAAGCCCCGGGCUCAACCUGGGAAUGGCAAUGGAUACUGGCGAGCUAGAGUGUGUCAGAGGAUGGUGGAAUUCCCGGUGUAGCGGCGAAAUGCGUAGAGAUCGGGAGGAACAUCAGUGGCGAAGGCGGCCAUCUGGGACAACACUGACGCUGAGGCACGAAAGCGUGGGGAGCAAACAGGAUUAGAUACCCCCGUAGUCCCUGUCUCUUAUAC
This 301-nucleotide ribosomal RNA is filed under the name uncultured bacterium. RNAcentral's name for it is "partial 16S ribosomal RNA". It matches the Rfam family "Bacterial small subunit ribosomal RNA", at positions 509 to 807 of the family's 1533-position model. The record is from RNAcentral.